This is a non-coding RNA of Galeopterus variegatus (Sunda flying lemur), 372 nucleotides long. Lineage: Eukaryota; Metazoa; Chordata; Mammalia; Dermoptera; Cynocephalidae. The record is from the annotation of a RefSeq genome assembly.
AUGGGGGCCUCUGCUCAGAUCCUCGGGGUCCUGCUGCUCUGGUUCCCAGGUGCCAGAUGUGACAUCCAGAUGACACAGUCUCCAUCCUCCCUGUCUGCAUCUCUAGGAGACACAGUCACCAUUACUUGCCAGGCCAGUCAGGACAUUAGCAAUUACUUAGCCUGGUAUCAGCAGAAACCAGGGAAAGCUCCUAAGCUCCUGAUCUAUUAUGCAUCUAGUUUGCAAAUUGGGAUCCCCUCAAGGUUCAGUGGCAGUGGAUCUGGGACAGAUUUCACUCUCACCAUCAGCAGCCUGGAGGCUGAUGAUGUUGGAACUUAUUACUGUCAACAGCAUGAUAGUAAACCUCUCACAGUGUUACAAGCCAUAACAUAA